CAGCAGGGACCCCGGUGGGAACACGAUAGGAUCGAUUUAUCCAGCAACGUAGGGAGCGAUCGCCAUCCCAGAUCCUCGACUUCGUUGGACUUUGCCGCUCUGGCGCCUGGCAAGGAGCUGCUACUCCUGCUGCCUAACAGAGAAACCCGGACACGGCGAGGACCUGCAACCCGGUCGCUCAGCGAUGGAGUUUUUUGACCGCUACCCGUCCCACCACUAAGAUGGUCCCUGCAGGAGGUGACGUGGCUGCAGCCUAAAGCCUCCCAGCUUUGCCCUGAUGUUUUGGAGCGGGGCUCAUGCAGGGGCAUGGCUACAGGCCAUGGGCAGCCCCUCUUGUUGACAGUCAGAAGGGCUGCAAGGAUCCUGCUUGCCGUGGCCACCGAGUCACCAGAA
Molecule: long non-coding RNA, 393 nt
Organism: Rhea pennata
Lineage: Eukaryota; Metazoa; Chordata; Aves; Rheiformes; Rheidae
Exons: 3
Source: RefSeq, a predicted model, not a curated record